GGACGCCCAGGCCGGUCCCGGAUGUUGCGGGCAGUAUGAGGCGAGCGCAGGGGGACAGGGACCAGCAGCUGUCGCCGCCGUUCUCAGGGUGAAGAAAGACCAGAAAUCUUUGCCCCCUGACUUUGGAGACCCAGUUUAACCUUCAAACUGGCGAUGUCAAGGGUUCCAAGUCCUCCACCUCCGGCAGAAAUGUCGAGUGGUCCUGUUGCUGAGAGCUGGUGCUAUACACAGAUCAAGGUAGUGAAGUUCUCCUACAUGUGGACCAUCAAUAACUUUAGUUUUUGCCGGGAGGAAAUGGGUGAAGUCAUAAAAAGUUCAACUUUUUCAUCAGGAGCCAAUGAUAAGCUGAAAUGGUGUUUGCGAGUAAACCCGAAGGGGCUGGAUGAGGAAAGCAAAG
This 397-nucleotide long non-coding RNA is filed under the name Rattus norvegicus (Norway rat). RNAcentral describes it as "long non-coding RNA NONRATT004782". Lineage: Eukaryota; Metazoa; Chordata; Mammalia; Rodentia; Muridae. The record is from RNAcentral.